Molecule: ribosomal RNA, 461 nt
Filed under: uncultured bacterium
Lineage: Bacteria
Description: partial 16S ribosomal RNA
Rfam family: Bacterial small subunit ribosomal RNA
Source: RNAcentral
CCUACGGGAGGCUGCAGUGAGGAAUAUUGGUCAAUGGGCGCGAGCCUGAACCAGCCAAGUAGCGUGAAGGAUGACUGCCCUACGGGUUGUAAACUUCUUUUAUAAAGGAAUAAAGUGAGGCACGUGUGCCUUUUUGUAUGUACUUUAUGAAUAAGGAUCGGCUAACUCCGUGCCAGCAGCCGCGGUAAUACGGAGGGUCCGGGCGUUAUCCUGAUUUAUUGGGUUUAAAGGGGGCGUAGGGUGGGAGGUAAGUCAGCGGUGAAAUGCCCCGGCUCAACGGGGGGAAGUGCCAUUGAUACUGCCUUGCUGGAGUGCGGAUGAGGUGGGAGGAAUGUGUGGUGUAGGGGUGAAAUGCAUAGAUAUCACACAGAACACCGAUUGCGAAGGCAACUCACGAAUCCGCGACUGACGCUGAUGCACGAAAGCGUGGGUAUCAAACAGGAUUAGAUACCCUAGUAGUC